RNAcentral lists this RNase P RNA (249 nucleotides) under Pirellulales bacterium. Its description in RNAcentral is "partial RNase P RNA component class A". It matches the Rfam family "Bacterial RNase P class A", at positions 147 to 367 of the family's 367-position model. Rfam says of the family: Ribonuclease P (RNase P) is a ubiquitous endoribonuclease, found in archaea, bacteria and eukarya as well as chloroplasts and mitochondria. The record is from RNAcentral. Lineage: Bacteria; Pseudomonadati; Planctomycetota; Planctomycetia; Pirellulales.
GGUAAGGGUGAAAAGGUGAGGUAAGAGCUCACCAGCAGGCCGGGUGACCGGCCUGGCUUGGUAAACCCCAUCGGGAGCAAGGCCAAACAGAAAAGAGUCCGCUUGAAACAGCGGCCUGAGGCGAUCCGCCUCGGUUUCUUUUCGGGUGGGCUGCUUCAGGUGGCAGGUAACUGUCAUCGUAGAGAAAUGAUUGCUGCUUUUGGGCUUUGCCCAAAAGAACAAAACCCGGCUUACAGGCCCACUCAGAUU